This 301-nucleotide ribosomal RNA is filed under the name uncultured bacterium. RNAcentral's name for it is "partial 16S ribosomal RNA". It matches the Rfam family "Bacterial small subunit ribosomal RNA", at positions 509 to 809 of the family's 1533-position model. The record is from RNAcentral.
CAGCCGCCACGGUAAUACGUAGGUGGCAAGCGUUGUCCGGAAUUAUUGGGCGUAAAGCGCGCGCAGGCGGAUCAGUCAGUCUGUCUUAAAAGUUCGGGGCUUAACCCCGUGAUGGGAUGGAAACUGCUGAUCUAGAGUAUCGGAGAGGAAAGUGGAAUUCCUAGUGUAGCGGUGAAAUGCGUAGAUAUUAGGAAGAACACCAGUGGCGAAGGCGACUUUCUGGACGAAAACUGACGCUGAGGCGCGAAAGCCAGGGGAGCGAACGGGAUUAGAUACCCGCGUAGUCCCUGUCUCUUAUACA